Molecule: non-coding RNA, 477 nt
Filed under: Mus musculus (house mouse)
Lineage: Eukaryota; Metazoa; Chordata; Mammalia; Rodentia; Muridae
Source: RNAcentral
AUAUAGUAUUGGAUGGACAAAACAAAUGUGAAUAAUUUAUAUUUGAAGAUAGAGAAGACACACUCCUGCAGAGAGGGGAAAACAUUGUCUUUACCAAAACAAAUAGGAAAAAGAGACUAUUAGAGGACUAUUAUCCAAUAUAUACAAUGAACUGAAGAAGUUAGACUCCAGAGAAUCAAAUAACCCUAUUUAAAAUGUGGUACAGAGAUAAAUAAAGAACUCUCAACUGAGGAAUACCAGAUGGCUGAGAAAAAAAAAAAAAAAACAAAACAAAACUAAAGAAAUGUUCAGCAUCCUUAGUCAUGAGGAAAAUGAUCAAACCCAGAAAGAAAUCCCAAGUUAAUAACCACUUCAAAACUGAAGAUCACAGGAAACUACACAUGACUAUACAGCAUGAUAUUGACCAUGUGGAUGUAGUGAAAAUACAAAUACUGACAAAUAUGAAUGUGGAUCAGAGAAAAUAACAUAUCACUGGAC